UGCUAAUUGUGAGCGCUGGGGCAGGAACAACUGUCCCCAGUGAAGCCAGCUGAACCAGUCUUCAGUGCCAGAAAUGCAGUAUCAGCAAUGACAGCAAGGCCCCAGGCACUAGCAGAAGGAGUAUUGGUGGCUUGGCAGGGUUGAAAUCCCUGCAGAAACAUGUGGGGCAGACAAGGUCUGCUGUGGUCCCUCGCUCUCCUACUCUUCCAUGGGGACAAGCUAUCUGCUGCACAAAGCCAGAACAGCCGGCUGGAGCUGGAGAGACACUCAAGUGUGGCACACACAGCAAUCCUCCUUCCAGCCCAGUUCAGUCCUGCUCCCUUCUACCCAGCUGGGCUCGUGGAUCCCUGCAAAGGGAAAAACUCAGGCUGGACUUGCACAGCAAGAGAAGAAAGGUCCUGGAGCCUGAAGUAUGGCUCAGCCAAAGCCUUGGCAUCACAGCUGUGACUUCAGAAGGGAGAUGAUGGACUCAAGGCAGGUAGCAAGGAGCACUUGCACACCUUUAUCUUGUUCUGACACCACACAGACAAAGCCUGACAGCACCGGACUUCCCAGGCUAAUCACUGCAACCUUUGGCUCAAGUCCACAGGCAUUUUGCUCAUCCAAGCACCAGGUUACUCAUUAGCGCCCCUUGAUUACAGCGCUGCAUUCACCCCCACACCAUCUCACAGAGCACGCAGAAAAACCAGGAAAGAUUAAGGGAAAAGGCACCGUGGAAAGUAACAAGUAAAGGACAAAUUCCGGACAAGAAGAAACUAAAUAAAUUAGAACAUGCCAGCUGGCUAAGAGGGGACAGAAUCAACAUCUGAAAAAUAAUGAAAUGGAAUGAUGUGGUAAAAAGGGGAAUUAUUUACUGUAUGCAAUAAAGGAAGUCGGGAAGCCUGUUUUAAACUGGCAGCAAUUUAGAAACAAAAGGAAAUGCUUUUUCAUAAAACAAUUACAGUGUGGAACUCAGUGCCCACAGGGGCUGGUCGAGGCAGAGCAGCACACAGGUUCAAAUGGAGAUCAGAGGAAUGAACAAUGAAUACAUCCAGGAGAGGCUACCAAGCACGUCAGCCUCAGGAGCUGCUACACCACUCUUUGUUAGAAGCUGACAAGAUAGAGCAGGGGAAGAUAAUUCCAAAUACACAUCUAUUUUCUGACGCCCUUUUCCCAUCCCACUCUCACCGGCCUCUGCUGGAGGCAGGAUACUUACAAUAAUCUUUGAUCUGAUCUAGUGUGACAGCUGCUGUGUUCUCAUAAAUUUCACUGAGCUUCACAGAUCAUUGAAUCAUUUUCCAUGUUUAUUGUUACAGUGAACAACAGGACACGUUCCUUCCUUCACGACUUCGUGUUUUGCACAGAUGAUCUCAAAGGACAAACCCAACUCCCUCGGUAAAAUUCAAAUUCAAGCAAAUAUUAUGGAAACCAAACACAGUCUCUAGAAUAUUAUUCUGGUUUCACAUAUCAACAAUGAAGACACAAGGGACUACAUAGAAAACUUCCUGUGGGAUCUAGUGAGCCCUGCAUCUUCCUCAACAGAGUUAGACUGCAUUUUCAGUGUAGUAACCCUUUAUGGUUACUUACUGUAACAUCUCUGGUGCUUCUCGUGCCCAAGAAACCACUGAGCAACAAAGUUCACAGCAAUCCUCCAGGUUUACGAGGAGUUGUUUCAUUUGGACACAGCAUGCUCCCUUUGUUUACCUGCUGUUUGGUCUCAUGAUGCAACCCAACAUUCUCUAAUCAGUUCAGAGCGCUUGUAACACAGCCAGAGGCUUUGUCACCCACAGGAAACUGCGGGCUUAACAAACUUAUGCAGCCAGACAUCAUCGGUGAGUUAUUCUUGUACAAAAUUAAUAAAAAAUUAAUUAAUAAAACAAAACCCCUAACACAUGGACCAGGUUGCAGCCUUCUCCUUUCCACAUCUUUCUUGCUAAAACUCCACAGAGAGGGAGGCCAGGGCCCUGCAGCUGGUUAUGGAAAGGGCUGAGCAUCCGGCAAGGGAGCACAGCUGCCGGCCACAUGACACACGCCCGGUACCAGAGACACACGGAGCUCGCUCGUGGGCAAAUCCACUCCCACCACAGAGCAUCCUGGGAUUAUUUGCCACUUUGUGCUUUCUCCCACUGCCCCCCCAGAGGAUUUGGGACUAAACAUGAGAAAAAAAAGGCACUAAUCAUGAAUAAUGCAGUUCCAGUUGCAGUGCUUGAAAUGUUCAGCUCAAAAAUGUGUGCUCGCUGUUUCCUUCUACUUGCUGCUUAGGCAGGCCUGUGGAUGUCACUGCAUGGACACACCUGGAGUGGAUGUGAUCAGCACAGGUAUAAAGAUCAGAAUUAACUCCAAAUUCCUCUGCUUUCAAGGAACUGUUUAGUUUAAUGAUUAAAACCUCAUGAGUGCCUGGAUUUUGUGAACACCUGUCAGUGUUCUUUGGAAGAAAAGGUAUUUGCUUGCUUAUUUAUUUGAAAACUGAAGCUAUAUACUAGUCAAAGGAAUUUUAUUUGGUUUUUAAAACAGAAUUGAGAUGGCAGUUUCACCUGAGAAGUGAAGCUUCAGUGCAAAGCCAGCACACAAAGUUUCAACACCCAGCUUUUGUUCCUGUGAGCACUGACUUUGCUGCAGGGGGGCAGUUAGAACUGAGCUCUGCACCUUUAAAUUUCUUACCCCUCUGCUUUUGUGGGUAGCUCUAUUAGGACCCCCAUACCUUUGCAGACUUAGGAAGCCUGCACACUUAAGCUGUAGAAAA
Long non-coding RNA from Zonotrichia albicollis (white-throated sparrow), 2722 nucleotides. RefSeq lists it as uncharacterized. NCBI's taxonomy places the organism in Eukaryota, Metazoa, Chordata, Aves, Passeriformes, Passerellidae. The record is from RefSeq and is a predicted model, not a curated record.